UACGUAGGCAGCAAGCGUUGUUCGGAGUUACUGGGCGUAAAGGGUGUGUAGGCGGUCCUCUAAGUUUGGUGUGAAAUCUCCCGGCUCAACUGGGAGGGUGCGCCGAAAACUGGGGGGCUAGAGUACUGGAUGGGAGAGUGGAAUUCCUGGUGUAGCGGUGAAAUGCGUAGAUAUCAGGAGGAACACCUGUGGUGUAGACGGCUCUCUGGACAGUAACUGACGCUGAGACACGAAAGCGUGGGUAGCAAAC
This 250-nucleotide ribosomal RNA is filed under the name uncultured bacterium. RNAcentral describes it as "partial 16S ribosomal RNA". It matches the Rfam family "Bacterial small subunit ribosomal RNA", at positions 524 to 773 of the family's 1533-position model. The record is from RNAcentral.